AACGCACCUUGCGCUCCCUGGUAUUCCGGGGAGCAUGCCUGUUUGAGUGUCAUUAAAUUCUCAACCCCCGAUCGGAUUUGUUUUCGCAUUCGGAGGCUUGGAUGGUGGAGCGUGCUGGCCCCCUCUCAUGGGUCGGCUCCUCUCAAAUGCAUUCGCGGAAUCGACUUUGGUCCAUUUCGGUCAUCAGUGUGAUAAAUGUUGCGCUGUUGGCUAGGAUCGAGGUGCCGCAUACAAUGGUCUUCGGACAAUUUUAUAAACCAUUUGACCUCAAAUCAGGUAGGACUACCCGCUGAACUUAA
Molecule: unclassified non-coding RNA, 299 nt
Filed under: uncultured Atheliaceae
Lineage: Eukaryota; Fungi; Basidiomycota; Agaricomycetes; Atheliales; Atheliaceae
Description: sequence contains ITS2
Rfam family: 5.8S ribosomal RNA (bases 1-52)
Source: RNAcentral